AGAGGCUUAGUAUGAAGGAGAACACUUUCAGGGGACCAAGUCAGAGAUAAGUCUGCAACCACAGCAAUGGCCCUUUAGAAAGCAUUUAAGAGGCCUGGUGCUUUUUGAGCUGCUUUGAUGACGUGGCAAUGGCUGGAGGGGAAAAGCAGCGGCACAGCUGCCUGCCAUUGGCCUGGUCUUUUUCACUGUGCUCAGUGUUGUCAUCACGAAGCCUCUCAUGCAGCGCGAUGUCAGGAUGGGCCCAUGCGCGGGUGGAAGGCAUGUGGGGGCCAUGUUGCCAGCUGCGGAUGGACAGGCUUCUGAUAUCAGGCUGUGACAGCACUGUCAUCUCCCAAGAAUCCAGCAUCCGUCUGCAUGGAUUGCAUGCCAUCCUUGAAUCCACUCACUUGCCCAGCCCCUGAACCAACUGAUGAAUGUGGUGAAGUCUUCCCUUCGUCACCCCAGGUGCAGCCACAGCCUCUGCAGCCACCCUGGGGGAGAGACAGCUCCAGAUUCCCGCAAGGAGCAAAGAGAUUUUUGACUUUGUCUUCUUUUAUUGACAUUGAGGAGAAGCUUCUGACUCAGGCGAGCCUCACAAUAAGCUGUUUUUCAACUUCAGUAGACCCGGACCUGCUAAGGUGAGGUGUUCUGGAAGGGUCUCUGCUCCUAGCAGUCACUGGCAGCUUGCCCAAAUUGGAGAAGUUUAACAUCUCUUUUCUCUGAGAAGUAAAAUGUGUUUCUUUGGUGGAUGUGAAACCAACAAACCACUGUGGUGCCUCUCUACAUCUGAAGGAUGAGCCAGCCAAGCCAGGGGAACUGACGACCCCACACACGUCUGCACUGCUGUGGCCGUGUUGAACACGGACUCCUUCUUCAGGGCAGCCUUGGGCCAUCGGAGGGCUGCUGUAUGCAGUGACGGCCACCAAGUGUCCUUGGCCAGGGGAGUGAUUUACAGGGACUGAGAUCCUGACUUGUGACCCAGACACGAAUGCAUCCUUGUUCCAUUUUGUUAUUGCUCAACCGUCAUCUGGCCAUCCCCAAAGCCCACCUCUGUGAGAAAGGCCAGUGCUUGUCCUCGUGACACCCCUGAGACCUCGAUGGAGCAAGUCCCAGGGCCCAUCAUACAUUUUUAAAGAAAAUCUUCUUUUGGUGAGAAGAUCAAAGGGCCAGGCAGAAAUGGAAAAGCACUUUCUGGCAUCAGACUUCCUCUGACUUCUCCGGUUGCCACACCACUGAAAGACUGCCCCACAGUGCGAGGGACGUCCACAUCUGCCUGGCUCUCCGAGGGAUGAACAGCCUUCAGUUCAGCUUCCUGUCACACCCCAAAAUCCACCAGGGCUCUGCAGUCAUAGAGCCCUGGAACCCAGAGGUGGAAACUUAAAGGAAUGAGUGCUCUCUCGCUCCAAAACCACAGAUAUCUGGUCCAUAGAGAACCCACCACACUUGUAUACAUUUUCAUACGUCUGCGCACAUACACAAAUGCACAAACACAUGUUCAGCUGUUGAUAAUCAUCUGAUCUUUUGCUCUUUCGAUGUAAAUAUGGCCAGAUAUCUCUGGCUUUAAUUCUCAUUAAAAUUUUGAAAGUUAUACUUUC
RNAcentral lists this long non-coding RNA (1574 nucleotides) under Homo sapiens (human). RNAcentral describes it as "HSALNT0309641". Lineage: Eukaryota; Metazoa; Chordata; Mammalia; Primates; Hominidae. The record is from RNAcentral.